GGGGGCGUCAUGGUUUCGACGUGGUCGUCUACAGGGAUUGGUUGCGAGCCGAGGACGUCGGUUGGCCUCGUUAAAUAACCCGGCACAUUGAACUGCGAAGUCGGACACCGACAUCGCCUUCGCCGCCUGAUCCUAGGAUCACGCGACGAACGCCCUUGCACCUUGGGCCCGUGGGGUGCAAUCGGCGUUAAUUAACGGGCUUGUCCCCCGGCGGAGUGACGCGCCGACGGGGGAGACCUUAUGCGUCUGGCCCCAGGUACGCCGGCCCGCAGAGCCGACUGGGGUGAGAUUGAUCCGCGGGCUACGCUCGUAGACGCCUUUUCCGAGCGGUCGCGGACCCGGGUUCGAUUCCCGGCGCCUCCACUC
RNAcentral lists this transfer-messenger RNA (366 nucleotides) under Gaiellales bacterium. It matches the Rfam family "transfer-messenger RNA". From Rfam's summary of the family: Bacterial tmRNA, also known as 10Sa RNA or SsrA, is named for its dual tRNA and mRNA-like properties. Its role is to liberate the mRNA from a stalled ribosome. To accomplish this part of the tmRNA is used as a reading frame that ends in a translation stop signal. The record is from RNAcentral. Lineage: Bacteria; Bacillati; Actinomycetota; Thermoleophilia; Gaiellales.